GUCGGUGGCCGGUGAUGUGCUCGAUGUAGAUGUCCCUGGACCAUCGGAUGGUGUCUGAGACCAUGAGGCGUCGCAUGAGCCGUGCAUAGCGUCGACUGAUCCCGCAGGUCCGCAGCACGCGCUCGUUGCAGGGGUCCCAGGCGCCCAGGGCUCUGACAAUCAGGGCGUCCAUCUGCACCUCGUAGCCCUUUGCUCUCAGGGUGUCAGCCAGGGGGGCGUAUUUUUCCAGCUUACGAGUUCGGGCUUCGCAAAAUGCCGGGGUCCUGUUCUCAAAGGAGACCAUGAAGUCGACGAGGAUGAUCUUUUUCUGGGCCUCAUUGGUGACGACCAUGUCAGGUCAUAGCUGGUAUUACACUCACAAUAGACACACAGGGUUUGUCUGCACAGCAAUUAGACACCCAGAGCUGGCCUAUGCCAGCUGACUUGGCUUGCAGGGCUUGGGCUAAGGGACUGUUUAAUUGCAGUGUAGAAAUUCAGAAUUUGGCCUUGCAACCAAGUCUAAGAAAUGUUAGGAAACUGCAGUUCUAUACCAAAUGAAAUGUCUCUCUACCGCAUGUUUUGUGCAACAAUUGCUUUUCAGGCCACUAAAAGGCAGUUUGAUUCCCUGGUUGCAAACACAUGCUUCAGUUUAUACCCACAGCCAUUUACUCAGGCUAGGAAACAUUCAUCCAGUUAAAUCAAGCCAGAAUUUGUAGAGUUCACUUCUAUGCUAAAAGGCAAAUGCUGUGCUCAAUCAGUGUAAACUCAGAACUCCACUGAUUUCUCCAGUGCAAAUCCAAUAUUACUGAGAACAGAAUGUGGCCUUUAAUAUUUAAGCUUUGUAAUAUCUUUAUACCUUAGAAUAACAAUGGCAUUUGAGCAGAGGAGUCAGUUUACAGUACCUGCAAAAAUCGAGGAGUAGCAGCUCCAUGCAGGAACAGCUCUGACCUUCCUGCUCCCCAGAGCUAAACUGAUCAAACCUCACCUAGGCACAGAGUUCCAGAUUUAAAGAGACAGUGCAGUAAAAACACCCAGAGUUUGUCUUUUGCUCACUGUGGCGUAGUUUCAGCCGAAAGGAAUAUGCCGCGUUUACUUGUAGCUAGUGGUGAAUGCCCCCUGGGCUAUGCUGGUCCCAAUGCUGCAGUGGGGUCAGCCCCCAAGAAUCUCAACGCAGGGGGCGGGGGCACUGGUGUCAGUUACCCCAUACAGAGUGAUGAUGAUAUCGAUUUCCUUUAUAAAGUGUUUAGCGAGCAAAAGAUGAAAAGUUCUAUAUAAGAGCAAGGUGGUGAUAUUCUUUGCAGCUGUUCUAUAAACAGGGCCAGGGCCCGAGCUCUGGGAACCCAGCAGCCAGAUUUAGGCAUGCGUGCAUACUAAUAACUUGCCCUCAAUAAUUCAUAGAUUUAAGGCGAGAUGGGAAGGCUAGAUCAUCUACUCUGAUCUCCUGUAUAACACAGGUAGGCAAGUCAUUCAUCUGGUUUUAAGCCGGCCAGUCCUGUUGUUGUAUGGUUUGUCCCCUAUCCAGUACAGAUAUUAAAACUGGACAUGGUUUAGUCCAAUAUCACGCAUGGAGGGUGCCAUUUGGCAAAGCGCACUGCUCUGGCCCUCCCACCCUGGAGUGACUUUGCACACGCUGUGUGUGUGAGGUCAUGCUGGCAGUGCAGCAUGCUCUGCAAAAUAGCAUCCUCCAUGUGACAUGGUCACGCCAGCAGGCGUGGGGACAGCUAAGGGGAUGUUGUCCUGUGUUCUGGGGAUGUCAGUGGCCACCCUAAUCACAGGCCAUUAAAUUUCACAAUUACUCCUGGAUUGAGCCCAAUAACUUGUGUAGCUAACACAUCUUCCAGGAAAGCAUCCAGUCUGGCUCUGAAGACACUAAGACACAGAGAAUCCACCACUUCCCUGAUAGAAGGAGAGGAUGCCACUGUGUGUGUGUUUGACCUUGCACUCUUUCUUCAUGAGCUAGGUAAAUCCCUUGGUGUUAGGACUAGCAGCAGGGAUACCCAGCAUUGUGGCCCUGGUCCUCGGAAUCAUACUGGCUGUGACCUGCAUUCGACAAAGGACACGCUGCAGCUGUAAUAAGGCCAAGCAGAAUCAAGAGGUGCCUGAAGAAUGCAAAUAUGAACAGACCAUUCCAAGGCUUCCGAAAGUCUCCUGUGUGUCCAUGAUGAAGGAGCCAACAAAUGCUUAUGAAAACGAGGAUCAAAAACCACCCCGCAGGCUACCAGCGCCCAUCCCCAGAAAAUCCAACUGGGCGAGGAAUAUAAAGCAGGACGCUGGUUGUACAGGACGGAAAUCCUCGCAAGUAAGUCUGGAGGCAGUCUACGAAACUUGCGUACCUUCCCCCAUAAUCGAGAAGAGGGAAAAGCGUAUGGGUUGGAACUGAAAUCAACUGGCCAUAUGCUCUGCUUGGACGCACCCACCAAUGCAGCUCCACUGCUGUUUAAAAGAGGGUAAUUGGGCCUUUUGUGUUUGUGAAUAUUUGGACUGACACAGAACAAAGAGAAAGCAGAUGAAGGAGGACUAUGUCUGGAUUGAUGCUUUCAGGACGCCGAAUCAAAGUGCCCCCAGCCAUCCACAAGCAAUAACUUUGCUUAUCUGUCAAAUUUUAAUGGCAUUUGAGUUGAUUCACUCUAAUCAAGAGCAGCUUACCCUUUGUAGUGACACUGUGGAUAGAAAAGCUCUGCCACAUGCACUAUAUUCUAUUCUUCCCCGUUUCUCCAAAGGAUCUGGUAAAUACGCUAAUAGUCUUAGCCCGUGUGCUAUAAAAUCAUCUCUCAUGUGACAUGUUGUUUAUUGCUUAGAGCAGGAACAGUGUCAGGACGAAUGAACUAAUCCUCUGUCUCAGCAACCCAGCCCUUUCCAGUUAAGACCUCGCUUGUCCCCACUCUCCCCCACUCCCUCAGAGUUUGUAAGGCUUACGAAGUUUCAGGGAUUCCUCUCACAAAUUCUUUCCAGACUCUCCUAAAUGAAUGCAAUAAAUGUUUACACAAGCACAUUGCAUAAAGUCCUCAGUACAAAUCAAUGCAUAACUCGUCCCCCUUCUGUAUUCAAACCAGACACCCAAGUAGAAGGCACUUUGUCAUGGAGGAAUUUCCAAAUUCUUAUUGAAAUCCAAUCCUCUUUAUUUCCAAACUUUCUGGAAACUGUGAGCCAUAUCUCAGCUGGUGUAAAUCAGCAUUGCUCCAUUGAACUCAGAGCAACUCCAGUUUAUGCCAGCUGAGGAUCUGGCCUUGCAAUUGCAAGUAACUAAUUGAUCUUGGAUUUCCAAACAGUUGGUGGCUCAAGAAGGCAAAACUCUAUUUAACUCAAAGGGUUCUCAGCCUGGAUCUCAUGAACAGGUGUCGGGAGGCUAUGACAGCAGGCUCUUCUCAUGGGGCUAAAUGGGAGGAGGAUCCAAGCUAAAUCCCAGGGAGAGAUUCUCAGUUCGCAGGGGUGGGAACUGAUAUGGAAAAGGAAUCAUGCUGUAGCAAAGGUUGAGAACCUGCUGCUUUA
This is a long non-coding RNA of Trachemys scripta elegans, 3468 nucleotides long. RefSeq lists it as uncharacterized. Lineage: Eukaryota; Metazoa; Chordata; Testudines; Emydidae. The transcript is spliced from 3 exons. The record is from RefSeq and is a predicted model, not a curated record.